This 372-nucleotide ribosomal RNA is filed under the name uncultured organism. RNAcentral's name for it is "partial 16S ribosomal RNA". It matches the Rfam family "Bacterial small subunit ribosomal RNA", at positions 527 to 896 of the family's 1533-position model. The record is from RNAcentral.
GUAGGUGGCAAGCGUUGUCCGGAAUUAUUGGGCGUAAAGCGCGCGCAGGCGGUUCUUUAAGUCUGAUGUGAAAGCCCACGGCUCAACCGUGGAGGGUCAUUGGAAACUGGAGAACUUGAGUACAGAAGGGGAAAGCGGAAUUCCACGUGUAGCGGUGAAAUGCGUAGAGAUGUGGAGGAACACCAGUGGCGAAGGCGGCUUUCUGGUCUGUAACUGACGCUGAGGCGCGAAAGCGUGGGGAGCAAACAGGGAUUAGAUACCCUGGUAGUCCACGCCGUAAACGAUGAGUGCUAAGUGUUAGGGGGUUUCCGCCCCCUUAGUGCUGCAGCUAACGCAUUAAGCACUCCGCCUGGGGAUACGGCCGCAAGGCUG